This 72-nucleotide transfer RNA is filed under the name Cavia porcellus (domestic guinea pig). It matches the Rfam family "tRNA". From Rfam's summary of the family: Transfer RNA (tRNA) molecules are approximately 80 nucleotides in length. Their secondary structure includes four short double-helical elements and three loops (D, anti-codon, and T loops). Further hydrogen bonds mediate the characteristic L-shaped molecular structure. tRNAs have two regions of fundamental functional importance: the anti-codon, which is responsible for specific mRNA codon recognition, and the 3' end, to which the tRNAs corresponding amino acid is attached (by aminoacyl-tRNA synthetases). tRNAs cope with the degeneracy of the genetic code in two manners: having more than one tRNA (with a specific anti-codon) for a particular amino acid; and 'wobble' base-pairing, i.e. permitting non-standard base-pairing at the 3rd anti-codon position. Lineage: Eukaryota; Metazoa; Chordata; Mammalia; Rodentia; Caviidae. The record is from Rfam by way of RNAcentral.
AGGGGUGUAGCUCAGUGGUACAGCAUUUGCCUAGUAUGUAUGAGGCCCAGGUUUUGAUUCCCAGCACUCCAA